This 468-nucleotide ribosomal RNA is filed under the name uncultured bacterium. RNAcentral describes it as "partial 16S ribosomal RNA". It matches the Rfam family "Bacterial small subunit ribosomal RNA", at positions 28 to 507 of the family's 1533-position model. The record is from RNAcentral.
GACGAACGCUGGCGGCGUGCUUAACACAUGCAAGUCGAACGGAAAGGCCCUGCUUUUGUGGGGUGCUCGAGUGGCGAACGGGUGAGUAACACGUGAGUAACCUGCCCUUGACUUUGGGAUAACUUCAGGAAACUGGGGCUAAUACCGGAUAGGAGCUCCUGCUGCAUGGUGGGGGUUGGAAAGUUUCGGCGGUUGGGGAUGGACUCGCGGCUUAUCAGCUUGUUGGUGGGGUAGUGGCUGACCAAGGCUGUGACGGGUAGCCGGCCUGAGAGGGUGACCGGCAACAUGGGGACUACGAUAGGCCGCAGACGCGUACGGGGGACAGCAGGGGGAAGUAUGGCACAGUGGGCGGACGCCGGAGGAGGAAGCGCCGGGGGCGGGAUGACGGCUUGCGGGGUAAAAACCGCUUUCGCCUGAGACGAAGCUGUAGUGACGGUAAUGGAAAAAGAAGCACCGGCUAACUACGUG